CACACAGGAAAUUUGUAUCGAAAGUUACCAUAUGGGCAGAAGAUAAAGAUUGAAGUGGACAAAAAUUUAACUUACAGAGUAUUCAGCGAUAAGUCAUAUUCAGAACCUGAGUGUGUUCAAGAAGAACAAAUGGAAAAGAUACAGAUUCCAGGAUCAAAGGGACAACCAGUAUCAAAGAAGUAAAAAUAAAAAAUGUUGGGAUAUAUCUUUAGAAAAAUAAAAUAAAACAUAAAUCUUA
Long non-coding RNA from Bombina bombina (fire-bellied toad), 238 nucleotides. RefSeq lists it as uncharacterized. The record is from RefSeq and is a predicted model, not a curated record. Lineage: Eukaryota; Metazoa; Chordata; Amphibia; Anura; Bombinatoridae. The transcript has 2 exons.